AUGCUGCUGCUGUCGACGCAUACGUUGAGGCCAGCAUCCCGGCGGCUUCCACCGCGGUCGUCAACUCCGCGACCGUGACACCCUCGACCGAGUUAGACUACGCGGCACAGCGUCAAGAUGUAGUGAAAGAAACACUACCAUCGGACGCUUUCUGCGUCUCCCCGCCCACAAUGGCCCAAGUGCCACUCCCUAGACUAGAGGACGGCGUAGAGGCGGCGGCCCCUUCGGUGGGCACCCCUGUGCCGUCGUUGAGCGCUACUACUACCAUCACCGCUGUUGCGCGGGAAUCAUCUCAUCCCCACUUGCAUCUUCUGCACAUCAUACAGCAGCAGCAGGAGCGCAUCGCCGUAUUGCAAGCGUCGCUAGCACACGCGGCAAGGAGUGCGCAGCGCUCGUCUGAAGCUCUGGAGUCUUUACAGGGCAAGCCGCGUGUUCCUGCGUGCACUGGCCGCAUCCGUGCGGUGGGCGUAGCUUCGUCACCCGCUGGUCGCGCGUCGGCACCGUUGGCGUCGAUUGCAGAAGUGACAUCAGCAGUGGCCAACACCGUGCGGUGGGCGGACAGUGUCGCUGCGACGCCCAUGCCGACAUCACCCGUCUCAUGCGGCUCGUUCACGGAGUGGAAAGACGACUUGCCUCAGGCGGAGUGCUGCUCGCACACUCCCUCGCCGCCCUCCAUUGCGCCAGCAACGUUCUCACCGCUGCCGGUGGUUCUUCUCGACAUCACGUCGAUGUUUACGACGCGAUCGACACGUGCGGCGGCAGCGCACCCUGAAAUGCAACCAUCAUCACUCUCGACUCACCGCCGGAGCUCAGAGACGCAAACGGACUCUGUUGCCACGGAGCCCACGACGCCGACCGACAAAUACAUUGGUGGCAGCAGUGGCGCGACGAGGCAGCUGAUGGACCAACUACGUGGCGAGCUGGCCGGCGCGCAGCGGAGACUCCCUACCGCCGAUACGUCGGUGUUGUGGCGCCGCGCCAGCAUGCUUGCUCUGCAGCAAAGCUGUGCUCCAGGUGCCUCCUCUCGAGAGCCCGCUGAUGCUGUGUCUUCUUGUAAUGGUGGGUCGGGGGCUUCACGCAGGUUUGAUUCCGUCCCAGGCGGGGACGGGGCUAGUUGCGAAGGAGCUGCCACAGAAUGCAUAGUACACGACGAUAAGAGGAAGGACAUGGAGGAGCUACAACGCCUCCGACUGUUGCUGCGCUUCUCAGAGCUGAAAAAGGACAGCGACCGACUCGCUGAGGUGGAGGAUGCCCUUCGAGAGUCCUCUUCGGCUCAGCUGCGGCUGCGGCAGCGCUGCGAUUUUCUGGAGCACGAAAAUUCACAACGAGGGGACUGCCUGCGAGCGAUUGCGUCGUGUGUCGAGACGACGUUGGCUGCGUCAAGCAGCGGCACCGUUGGCAACCGCAGGGAUGGCAGCACUGCCACCGCUGCUGCACCCAUUGAAAUGUCGGAUAAGCUGGUGAGUCUUCUGAGGUACGUUCUGCACCUCUGCACAGACGCGGCGCUGUCUCCGAGUGCGCACAAGGCACCCUUGCCGCUACCGCACCCUUCACCACCGAAGGCCCGGCAAUCGUCUGUGCAUUCACGCCAGGAUCGGCUGCACAAGGCUGUGAGCGACAGCCGUGACGGCGGGCGAUCUCUACCGCUCCGCCCGCCUUCCCGAAUGGCGUCGUGGCACGGCUCUGGCGCGGCAGCGGCAACCGCACUCGGUGAGCGACGCGCGAGUAAACACUGACAGAUUUGCAGCGUCCGACUUUCGGAAGUUGUGGCGGUGAGAAGGCGGGGGAGGGGAAGAGGAGGGCAGAGAGCCACUUGACAUCAUCAUUUUUUCUCUACGUCGAGGCCCGCUGCCUGCGGUGGCACUGCCUUGUCUGCCACUGCUGCUUCCCUGUGUUUUCGUGGUGUCACUGGUAGAAGUGUGGGAAGGAGGGGGGCUCUCUUCACCUUCUGCCCCAACCCUUUCUUCCUCUCCCAACUCAUGUGGUAGCGAAGGCCUUCCUUAUGUAUAUAUACGGCUGUGCUUGUGUGUGUGGGCAAGUGUGUCUUCCAGUAUCAUCUACUGGGGUGUUCUGGUUGGAGCUCGUCACUAUCUCCAACCCAGUUGCCCGUGCUUCUCCUCUGUUCCGACUACGAGCGCAUUGGCGGGAGGGUCAGUUGGUUGAGGGGUGGGAGGGACGGAUACAGAGUUAGCUCUCUACUGCCAUCUCCAUCUCUUCCCGCUUCUGCAGCCGUGCCCUUCCCUCGGUAUCUCUUACCCCUCGCCGUCUUCUCACUGUCCGUGUGCGCCAUGCUAGUCUUCUCGCUUCCUCGUUUCUCGCGUGGCUUGCUUUUACUCAUUGCAUGCACCAUAGACGCACAAGCUCCCUGCUCCCACCUCUUGUUUUGACUCCACGCUGUUUGCCUCCUCCGCACCUCCGAAUGCUCUCGAAGGGAAACCUAAAACGCGUAUAUAGAUAGCAACUAUGCUCUGACUGCCCUCUGCUCGUGCGAGGGAGGGCCUGAGGAGGUGAGCGGUUUCGUUUGCCUUGUGCAUCGCAGGCGCUCUCCACUACCUACAGCGCGUGCAGCGGCGGGUGUGGGAUAGGUAGAGGGCCUGCGCCACGGCCCAUGUCGGUGAACUGGUUGUUCUGCGCGCCAUCGCGACGAUGACGAGGCAGUUUCGUGGAGCGGGAGUGAAUGACGCCUUGCAGAACCCUCUCUCUCCGGUACCGCCACACCCUUCUUUUGCAUGCCAUCGCGCGUGUGGGCCUUCUGCCGCUUCUUUGUCGGCUUGUGUGCCUCUCCUUCUCCCUCUGUGUGUGUGUGUUCUCCCUUUUCACUGUACUUCGCGUCACCUUCCCUGUUUGAGUUUGUGCCUCUCUCUCACUGCGCAUGCGUGCGUGUGUCGGCCUUGUGUUUGCCUUCGUUCGCUUUUUCUCUGACGGACAUACAACACACACACACACACAUACACACACGCAUGCCGAUGCCUGCCUCCACACCCCUCUGCCCUCUCGUCGGCGAGCAGUUUAUCGAAAGCAGC
This 3023-nucleotide unclassified non-coding RNA is filed under the name Leishmania donovani. Its description in RNAcentral is "gene:LdHU3.15.0270(CDS-product:hypothetical_prote in_conserved)". Lineage: Eukaryota; Euglenozoa; Kinetoplastea; Trypanosomatida; Trypanosomatidae. The record is from RNAcentral.